RNAcentral lists this ribosomal RNA (433 nucleotides) under uncultured bacterium. RNAcentral describes it as "partial 16S ribosomal RNA". It matches the Rfam family "Bacterial small subunit ribosomal RNA", at positions 29 to 507 of the family's 1533-position model. The record is from RNAcentral.
AACGAACGCUGGCGGCAUGCCUAACACAUGCAAGUCGAACGAGACCUUCUUUUCUUGUGUCUCAUGGGUGCGUAACGUGUCGGAACCUGCCCUUAUGUUCGGAAUAACUCCCCGUCAUGGUUCCUAAUACCGGAUAAUUUCUUCUGACCAAAGAUUUAUCGCCUUUGGAUGGGCCCGCGUUCGAUUAGCUGGUUGCUAGGGUAAAAGCCUACCAAGGCGACGAUUCAUAGCUGGUUUGAGAGGAUGAUAAGCCACAGUUGGACAGGGACACGGCCCAGACUGCGACGGGAGGAAGGAGUGGGGAAUAUUGGACAAGGGGCGAAAGGCUGAUGAAGCAAUGCCGCGUGAGUGAUGAAGGCAUUAGGGUUGUAAAGCUGAUUUACCCGGGAUGAUAAUGACAGUACCGGGAGAAUAAGCUCCGGCUAACUACGUG